AACGAACGCUGGCGGCAUGCCUAACACAUGCAAGUCGAACGAUCCCUUCGGGGAUAGUGGCGCACGGGUGCGUAACGCGUGGGAACCUGCCCCUAGGUUCGGAAUAACUCAGAGAAAUUUGAGCUAAUACCGGAUAAUGUCUUCGGACCAAAGAUUUAUCGCCUUUGGAUGGGCCCGCGUUGGAUUAGCUAGUUGGUGGGGUAAAGGCCUACCAAGGCGACGAUCCAUAGCUGGUCUGAGAGGAUGAUCAGCCACACUGGGACUGAGACACGGCCCAGACUCCUACGGGAGGCAGCAGUGGGGAAUAUUGGACAAUGGGCGAAAGCCUGAUCCAGCAAUGCCGCGUGAGUGAUGAAGGCCUUAGGGUUGUAAAGCUCUUUUACCCGGGAUGAUAAUGACAGUACCGGGAGAAUAAGCCCCGGCUAACUCCGUG
This 433-nucleotide ribosomal RNA is filed under the name uncultured bacterium. RNAcentral describes it as "partial 16S ribosomal RNA". It matches the Rfam family "Bacterial small subunit ribosomal RNA", at positions 29 to 507 of the family's 1533-position model. The record is from RNAcentral.